Molecule: long non-coding RNA, 16664 nt
Filed under: Solanum lycopersicum (tomato)
Lineage: Eukaryota; Viridiplantae; Streptophyta; Magnoliopsida; Solanales; Solanaceae
Description: long non-coding RNA (SLYC_LNC000696)
Source: RNAcentral
GUGGUUGGAGUCAAAGUGCAAUUAGCAAUUGGGAGAGGAAUCCUUGCAAUACAUGUUCCUGACAGAAGACUUGUAUUGGUGGACACUGCAGCAUUAAUAAUGCCUUGACUAUUUGUGGACACUUGAGCAAUCGUUGUGUUGCCACAAAUAAUCGUUACAUUUGCUCCACUCACUCCGACGCCUGGGGCAUUACUUCCCGGUACGGAGCAAGACAAACUCCCAAUAUAGUUAAAUUAAUAUUCGUUGGUAUAAUCGGUGGUACUUGACCACCAACAGGUGGUACAAUCGGUGGUAUACUAAUGGGUGGUACAAUCGGUGGUAUAUUAAUGGGUGGUACAAUGGGUUGGCCAAGAAUAGGACCAACAAUUGGACUGAGAAUAGAACCAACAAUCGGUAAUUGACCAAGACCAACAUGUGCUACUUGACCGACGGGUGGUACAAUACGUGGUGCAGGUUGCCCCAAAAUGGAACCCACAAGGGGAAUGGGACCCAAAAUGGGACGAAUAAUGGGACCAAUGUUAAUAGGCAAUUGAGCAUGGGCUAGAGGACUGGUGGUGAUGAUGGAAAGUAGAAUAAAAAGGGAAACAACACACAUUUUUGAAGACAUGACGAUUUGAUAAUUUUUAUUCUGUUCAAUAUACCCUUUAUAUAGUGCUCCUUUUUAUUUACUCCACCCCUACCAUAACUUACCCCACCCCCAACCUAUAUAAAUGAUUAAAUAUAUUAUCUUUCAUCCCUAAAUAAGACUUACAAAUAUCUCACAUAUAUCAUCAUUAGUUAGGUUGAAACUCAUCAACUUGAACAACAUUGGGACCAUACAAAUUAAUUAAUUCAAUAUCAUUUGACUUGUCAUAAGAAGAAAUUUUUUUUGUAAGUUGAGGCCAAAAGGCCUUUGGUUUGCCCAUAGGAUCUAUUUUGAUGGAAUAAAUAACUCCACUUGGUUUGGGUGUCAAAAAAAAAAACAAUAAAAAUAACAACAACAAAAGAAGAUUUUUGAAAAUAGUUGUGUGAUUGUUAAUCACUUCAUUAAAAAAAAAUUAAUGUUAUAUCAUGUUUUUAAUUAUAAUAAACUACACUAUAUAAUAAUAACAACAAUAACAAUAACAACAACAACAACAACAACAACAACAACAAUAAUAAUAAUAAUAAUAAUAAUAAUAAUCAAGGGCAAAAAGCUAAUCUACUUGGUCAACAUAAAAUGACUUUUAAGUUUUUAUAAAAAAAGAACCCCUCACCUAUCUUUUAGAUUUUGGCAUAAAAUAAGUCAUUUUGGACUUAAAAUAAGUCACUUUGAUAAUUGUCAAACACUCAAAUAAAUCAAAAACUGAAUUUUAAAUCAGUUUGACCAGCUUUUAAGCCCAUUCCAAUAGGCUCUAAGUGUGUAAAUGACUUUUCUAUACAAGUUCAAGAUGAAAUUUAUGUCUUUUUCCAUUUGAAAUACCAUCACAAUACUUUAUUUCUCACGCCAUGUAUUCAUGAUAUAAUAAAAGAUAUAUAUAUUAAAUAUUGAAUAAGAAAUUUAUGGGUGCCUCAACUAUGUUAAAAAAAGACAUAUGUCUUAGGUCCCCCUAAUUUAAGGGGCCUCAUUUUUAAUAAUAAUAGGUUAUAAGUUAUUGUUUUUAAACAAAUAUUGAAUACUAUUUGUAGAAAAAGUAAAUUUUUUCAUGAAAAAUAAAGAAAUUAUAGAAGAAAUUUGACAUGUUUGAAGUAAUAUAUCUCAUGAAAAAUAAUUUAAAAUAAGAAUGAUUAUAUUAUCAAUUUAAAACUACAAGAAAUCAAUUAUAUAAAGUUAUUGACGAUUCAAGUUUAAUGAUCUAUUUAAUUUUUAUUUUAGGCCGUUAAUAUGCUUAAGCCGCUUCUAAAGAAAUUUUGGUAUUUUUUCAAAGAAUGAUGUAACAUAAAAGUUAUAAUAUAAUAUGUAUUUUACUUUAUCAGAAAAUAUCAAGAGAAUGUGGGAUGAACGCAUGAGUUAAUUUGACAAAGUUUAACCAUUCAUUACAAUAUUACUAAAAAUAAGGGAAAAGGGUCUAAUAUACCCUCAACUUUGUCAUUUGGAGCUAAUAUAUCCAUCGUUAUAAAAGUGGCUCAUAUAUGCCCUUACCGUUAUACAAACGGCUCACAUAUAUUCCUCACGUUACAAAAUGGCUCAUAUAUACCCUUUAUUUAACGGGAGUUAAAAACUUAGUUUUAAAUUUAUAUUUAUUACUUGUAAUUUUUUAAAAAAAAAUUAUUUAGGGGUAUAUAUGAUUCUUCUAUCAAAGUUCAAGGUAUAUUUUAAUUUUUUUCAUAUAUAAAUUAUUUUUUGACUUUUUUUAUUAUAAUUAUUUGAGUUUCUUAUUCUUAUGUUUUUUCUUUCAUUCCUUAGUUUAAAGAAAACAAAUUUAAACUAUUUUUUUUGUGUGUAUUGUAAUUUAAUUUCGUAUUUGAAGAAAAAAUUUGGUCACCUACAAUAAGUUUUACAAGAAUAUUAGUGAAACAUAAAUAAAUAUGAUUAUCAAAAUAAUAAUUAUAAAUUAGUCAUUGAAACAAAAAAAGGUCAAAAAAAAUAUGUUUGACGAGGAUUAAAUUUACUUAUAUGGAAUUAUAUUUUUUAGAAAAAAAUAAUAAAAAUUUAGAUUAAAAUUAUUAUUUUUUCCAUUUCCGAUAGAGGAAAAGGGUAUAUGUGAGUCAUUUCUUUACAAGUAGGGGUAUAUAUGAGCCACUUUCAUAACAAAGGGUAUAUCAACUCUAAGUGACAAAGUUGAGGGGUAUAUCAGACCAUUUUCCCUAAAAAUAAUAAUCUAUCUUAUUUAAUGGCUCAAUAAGUGAAUGAAAAGACGUGUUAAAAUUAAUGUAAUUAAGUAUUUUACUUUUACAAAUUAUGACUUACCCGACCUAACUUAGUACCAUAAGCUAAUAGCUUUCUCUACUAUAGCUUGCCAAACUAUAUAUGCUUUGAAGACCUUUACUAUUAAAAUAAAUUAUCAUAAGAUAAGGUGAACAAAUAUGUAAUGCUUCCGAUAGGGGCUAUUAACUAAUGAAAUACCUCAAAUAUUUGUAUAUUUUUACAAACAUAAGGGUUGUCCUACUUUCUUUAGAAUAAGUUGAUAAUAUAUUAGAUUGAUAGACCCCCUUCCUUUUGAACUGCUAAUUUUUAUUUGUCCAACAGAUAAAAAUAUCUUUUGAAAAAUAACACCAAAUUAGUUUAUUGUUCUUAUCAUAUAUUAUUUUUAUUUGUAUGGAUGUGAAUACAUGCAUGGGCCAUGGCCUGAUAAAUCUUGUUCGUCUUCAAAUUAAGCAUAGUUGGGCAAGCUAUACUAUAACACUAAAUCAAAAUUCACAUUUAGCGAUAUCUAAUUAAUGGUAAGUCGUUAAUAAUUUAAUAUUGUCGUUAAAUAUGUGUUUUUGAAGGUAAUUAGUAGUACUCUUUGUAUAUGUCUAUAGAGUCUGUAGUGAUAUUGAAUAUAAUGACGAUUAAUUAAUGUCGAUAAAGACUUUAAUUAUCAAUCUAUAUUAAUAUGUAUAUUUCUUGCCAUUAAAUGCUAUUUUUAUUUAAAAAACUUACAUAAAUAUACUUAAUUAAAAAAAACACUUACCAUUUAUAGUACUAACGUUUUUUUUUCACUUGAUCAUAAUGAUUAAUAACUUGCAAUAUUUCCUUCACACAACCUGAGUUAGGUUGAAAAUGAUCAACUUGAAAAUUGGGAUCACAAAAAAUAAUGUCGCAUCAUUUGACUUGACACGAUGUUUAACAAAAAAAAGACUUUUUAAAUUAACCCAUCCUUAAAUUGUAAAUCAUUUGUAAAAUAAAAGAAAAUUAAACAUUAAAUAAUUUUUAAAUUAAGUAUGAAAAGUUGUCACUGGUAUCAUAGUUGAAUUUAAAAGCUCAAUGAUCCUUUAUUGUGUUUGAGAGAGGACCUCGGCAUUCACAAAGAAAACUAAACAUUAAAUUAUUAUUUUUAAAUAUGUUGCUAUCAUAUUCUCAUUAAAAAAAAAGAGAAUGCACAAGUACUCCCUCAAUCUAUGUCCGAAAUUAUAGAGACAAACUUAUAUUAUACUAAACUCCUAUUACCCUCUGAACUUAUUUUAUAAGUUUCUCUACCCCUUUUCGACCUACGAGACACUAGUUUGAAAAAAAAAUCAACCAGAGUUGGGCUCACAAGAUAGUGCCACGUAAGUCAAAAAUAGAUAGAAAAUUAUUAAUAAAAUAAGUUUAGAAAAAUAAGAACCCUAUUAUAGUAUAAAAUUAUUAAUAAAAUAAGUUUAGAAAAAUAAGAACCCUAUUAUAGUAUAAAUAUGUCUCUGAAAUUUCACACAUAAAUUGAGGAGAUAUUGCACUUGUUUGUAAUUGAGAUAAUGGUAAUAAACCAAUCACUUCACCAUUUAUAUAUAUUUUUACAAACAUGAGGGUUGUCGUAAUAACUUAAUUACCAUUGAAUAUAUAUUUAAAGACAAUUAGCAAUACUCUUUAUAAAUAUCCCUGAAGACUACAGGGAUAUUGGAUGAAAUGACAAUUAACUAAUGUCAAUAUAGGCUAUAUAUAAUUAUCAACUUUUAUAUAAAUAUGUAUAAUUUUCGCAGCUAAAAGCUAUUUUUAUUUUAGUGCAGAUUACAUAUAUGUAGACCUUAAAUAGACAAAUUAAUCUAAUUGUCCUAAUUUAGGUCGGAUAAGUGAGAAUUUGUUGGAGUAAAAACUUAUAUGAAUUAAAGUAAUUUUAAGGUGUUAAAAUCUCUUUUCAUUCAAUUAUCUGAGCCAUUAAAUAACAUAAAUUAUUGUUUUUAAUAAUAAAAAUUGUUAUAAUGAAUGUGGAAAAAUGCACAAGUACCCCGUCAAUCUAUGCCCGAAAUCUCAGAGACACAUUUAUACUAUACUAAGGUCCUAUUACCCCCCUAAACUUAUUUUAUAAGUAAUUUUCUACCCCCUUUUGGCCUACAUGGCACUAGCUUGAAGAAAAAAGUCAACCAGCGUUGGGCCCACAAGAUAGUGUCACGUAGGCCGAAAAGUUGUCGGUUAGGUAAUUUCUCAAAAAAAUUAUAAUACUUUCAAAUAUAUGAGUAAAGUUGAGUUUAUUAUUGAUUUAUCUUUACUGGACUAAGUGUUUACACUGUUUUACAAGCUUUCCUUAUAUCGCAUGUGUCCUUACUGCUCUAUAUUGAGUUGUUAUUUCAUGAGUUGAGCAGAACCAAUGUAAGUUCAUCCUUACUCCUUUCAAGCCUUUUAGUAGUGUUUAGCAUUCCAAUUCGCACACUCGUACAUUCAAUGUACUGAUGCCAGUUGGCUUGCAUGCAUCGUCUUAUAAUGCAGAAGCAGGUAAUCAGGAUAUGCAGCGCUUCGUUGAUCCAGUUUGAGCUCUAGAGUCAGUGGUGAGCCUCCUUGCAUUCCGGAGGAUCCUUUUAUUGCUAUCUAGUUAGUUCAAUAGAAUGGUGUGGGGUUUGUCCCAACAUUCAUCUCAGUCAGUUUAGAGGCAUCAUAGACUGAUAAUUAGUAGUUAAGUUGUGUCUCUUCAUUUCAGAUUCUAUAUUUGAGACUUAAGUGCAAAUUUGGUCAAGACAGUAUUUAAAGUCAUUUUAUGAGAGCUUUUCCAAUUCUAUAAUUGAGUUAAGUUGAGUCUUCCGCUGAGUUAAGUAAGUCAGGCCAAAAGUUCGCUCGAGGCCAGCAAUAGUCACCAAGUGCUAGUCCCACCCAGAGUAUAGGCUCGAAGCGUGGCAAUAUAUACAUUUCAUAUACGACUUACAUAUUCAGAUAUUUUUGACAUUUUGUUAGAGCGGAAGAGUCUUAACUUACAUAUUUAGGUGAAGUAUUGAUAUUUUGGGAUAUUGGUACUUAUUAUUAUUUUACUUUACUACUUAUUUAUAAGUCUACAACACACGGUAAGCACACACAAGGUGCAAAACAUGUGCUCGAAGUAAAUUUAAUUUGAAUGAGGUUAAUUUGGUCAUUUAUAUAAUACUCAAUGCUUUUUUUACUUGUACAAAAUGAAAAAUUGUUUUUUAUGGACAUCAAAUGACCAAAACUCCAGUAUUCUUUAACUCAAUUGUCAUAUGUUAUAGAACAUUGCAAUUGGUUGAAAAUCAACUUUAAUGUAGUUGCAAUAUAAUUAUUUUUACUUCUUGUCAAAACUGCCCCUAUGCGGCUUAAGCUUAUUUUAUUAACCAUGUGUUAUUACGUGGAGAAAUUAAAGACAUCUUCAGAUGAGUCAUUUUAAGCGGUAUCGACCUAGAUAUAUAUAUAUAUAUAUAUUCUUUUUGUUUUAUUUAUGUCAUUCUUAUUAAAAAUAGGUUAUAUUUAAUAUUUGUCAUUUCAUAAAAGUAAUGCACUAUAUAGUAAUGCUAUUAUGUUUAUUUUACACUUCUAAAUUAUUAAUCUUGAAGUAUAGAAAGCUAAGUAACUAAUUCAUGUUUAUUGGUCAAAUUAAAUAGUCAAAAUAAAUAAAUUCAUGUUUAUUGAUUGAAAACUUGACUUCAAAAAACAGUAAGAAUAGAAUAAAACUUAGCUUAGUUUCGUAAUACACAUGAAAUCUAAAAUAGUGACAUAUAAAUAAGAUUGGAGAGAGUAUAAGUUAAUUCUCUAUUUGUGUCAUACAAAUAGAGAAUUAAGAUAUUUCCUCCAUUACUUUUUAUACGACAUCCUUAUUAUAAAUAGUUAGUCUAUAAUAUUUGUCAAUUCAUAAAAUCAAUGUAUAAAUUAGAGUACGGAGACUUAAGGGUGAAUAAUAUUGACAAAAUUUUCAAAAGGGUAUGUCAAUUUUUUUAAAAAAAAUUAAAACGGUAAAAUCGCUACUAAUGUAGCGAUUUAUUUGGCCAGCAUUAUGACAAAUCGCUGCUCGAGUAGCGAUUUGCACAAUUUUUUUUAAUUUGAAAUCGCUAUCUCAUCUGCGAUUUUUUGUUUUUUUUAAAAGGGAUAAUGCCCAAGUACUCCCUCAACAUAUGCCCGAAAUCUCAGAGACAAACUUAUACUAUACUAAGGUCCUAUUACCCUCCUGAACUUAUUUUAUUAAUAAUUUUUUACCCCUUUUUAGCCUACGUGGCACUAUCUUGUGGGCCCAACGAUGGUUGACUUUUUUUUUCCGAACUAGUGCCACGUAGGCUAAAAAGGGGUAGAAAAUUACAUAUAAAAUAAGUUUCGGGGGGUAAUAGGACCUUAGUAUAGUAUAAGUGUUUCUCUGGGAUUUCGGGCAUAGGUUGAGGGGGUACUUGGGUAUUUUCCCUUUUUCAAAAAAAAGUUUUUUUAUGAUAAAUCGCUGCCAAGGCAACGAUUUUGUUAAUGAUUUUUUUUUAAAUUGUAAAUCGUUGCCCGAGCAACGAUUUUAGUUAAAAAGAUUUUUUUUGUUUUUUGAUGUAAAACGCUGUCAAGGCAGCGAUUUCACUUUAAUUUUUUUUAAUUUUCUUACGUAAAUUGCUGCCAAUUUUGUCAAUUUUUUUAUAGUUUUUUUAAUUGUGUCGUAAAGCGCUGCAAUUGCAGCAAUUUUUUGUUUUUUUUUUAAAAAAAGAUUCAAUAUUGUAAAUUGUCUUUGCACGACUUUAUUGUAGCUAUAAUGAAAUCUACGUAGUACAAAAUUGAAAUUGUAUUUCAUUAAGUAAAAAGAUAGAAGGGUUUAACUAGGGGUGGGCAUAAACAACAGAAAAUCUAAACACCGAAUCGAAUCAAAAUUUUUCAAAAUUUUGGUUUCGAUAUUUCGGUUUUCGGUUCGUUGUUCGGUUUACUUUUUUAUAUUUUUCGGUAUUUCGAUUCGAUUUUCGGUAUGUAUUAUAUUGGUUUUUGGUAUUUCGGUUUAAAUCGAAAUAUUAUACUAUAAUUUAUAUUAUAUUAAUUAAUAAUUAUUAAUAUUAAAUAAUUUUUUAAAAAAAGAAACCCUAUGGUCCUAUUCCUCUCUCUUUCAUCUUUCUCCUAAUUUUCUCUUGGUCUUUCAUCUUCCUCUUGGCUCUUUCCUCUUCCUCUUCUUCAUCUUCCUCUUCUCCUCUUCCGCCAGCCAGAAGCAGCUGCUGCAGCCGCGCCGUCCGCCAGAAGCAGCAGUAGCAGCCGUGCUGUCUGCCAGAAGCAGCAGCAGCAGCAGCCGCGCCGUCUGCCAUCAAGCAGCCAGCAGCCGCGUCGUCUGCCAUCAAGCAGCCAGCAGCCGCGCCGUCCGCCAUCAAGCAGCCAGCAGCCGCGCCGUCUGCCAUCAAGCAGCCAGCACAUCGCGCCGUCUCAGCCAGUCAGGUUUGGAUUUUGUUAUUUUUUUUUGUUCUUGACUUCUUUCGUUUUUUUCUUUCUGAUUUUAUUUUUGCUACUAGUUAUUGUGAAUUUAGUGUGAAUUUUUUUAUAUAUAUAGAUGGUUGAACAAAAACAAUUAAAUAUGGUUGUAGCUGAGCAAAGUCGAAUAAGUAUGGCUGAUUUUACGGAUAAUACACUUAGUAAUAGCAAUGAUCCGUCAAUUGGCACAGAAAUAACAAAAAAAAAAGAAAUGGAUCCUAGAUCUACUGUUUGGCAACACAUUGUAAAGGUUUUUGAAAAUGGUGUAUUAGUUAAAGCAAAGUGCUUAUAUUGUAAACAAUACUAUGCUGCCAAUACAACAAGAAAUGGAACAAGUGGACUAAAACAACAUUUGACUUAUCGGUGUAAAGUGUAUAAACCUCCGACUGUUGCACCGGUAUUCAAAAAUUAUUACAUAUUCAAAAUAACAAUUUAGAGACUUGGAAAUUUGAGCAAGAGGUAUGUAGGAGAGCUUUAGUUGAGAUGAUUAUUUUGGAUGAACUACCUUUUAGUUUUGUUGAAAAAGAAGGUUUUAAGAAGUUUAUGAGUAAAGUCCAGCCUUUGUUUCAUAUUCCUUCUCGUAGAAACAUAACAAGGGAUUGUUAUGAAGUUUAUGGUGAAUUGAGAAUAAAUUUGAAACAAUCUUUAAGAGAAAUACAACCAAGAAUUUGUCUCACAACAGACACAUGGACUUCAGUGCAAAGAAUCAAUUAUAUGUGUUUGACUGCUCACUUUAUUGAUAGGGAUUGGGUGCUUCAUAAAAGAAUAUUGAAUUUUUGUCCUAUCACUAGUCAUAAAGGUGAGCAUUUUUGGCUGAGUCUAUUAGUAAUUGUUUACUUGAUUGGAAGUUGGAUAACUUUUUUACUGUUACGGUUGAUAAUGCCUCUUCAAAUGAUGUGGCAGUUUUAGAGUUGUUCAAAAAAUUAGAUAUGUGGGAAACUAAUUUGAUAGAAGAUAAGCAUUUCCAUGUGAGAUGUAUGACUCAUAUACUUAAUCUAAUUGUGCAAGAUGGUUUGAAUGAAAUUAGUCCUUCUAUCAAAGGGUGAGACAAAUGGUGAAAUAUUUUAGAUCAUCUUCUUCGAGGACAAGAAAUUUCUUGAAAUGUGUUGAAAUGCAAAAGAUAGAAUGUGAUAAGUUGUUGUCUUUAGAUGUGCCUACUAGGUGGAAUUCCACCUAUUUGAUGUUAAACACAGCAGAAAAGUGUGAGAAGGCUUUUAGAGGUUUGAUCUUUACGAUGGUAAUUUUAAUUCUUUUCUUGCUACUAAUGUUUGUGAAGAUGGAAGUAUCGCAGGGUCAAAAUAAUAUGAAGAUUGGGCUAAUGUGAGGAAUGUCACAAAGUUUCUUGAAAAAUUUUAUGAACUCACUUUGAAAGUUUCAGGUUCACGGUAUGUUACUUGUAAUGUUCAUUUUGAAGAUAUAUGUGCACUUGAUGCUUAUUUGAAAUUAUGUAUAGCAAGUGAUGACCUUGAUUUGAGUAAAAUGACUUUGGGAAUGAAAGAAAAAUUCAAGAAAUAUUGGGGUACUCCUGAAAGAAUGAACAAAAUAAUUUUUAUUGCUUAUGUUUUGAAUUCUCACAAUAAAUUUGUGUAUGUUAGUUUUGCUCUUGAAGAAUUACUUGGAAAACGGAAAAUGUAGUGAAUACGAAAGUAGAGUCUUACUUGAGGGAUUUGUUUGCGAUAUAUGUAAGUGAGUAUGGAAAAGGUUCCAAAAGUCAACCAUCUUCAUCUGACUCAUCUGAUUCUUCUGCUUGUGGUAUUUCUCAAAAUGUGUCCAAAAAUUCUUUGAGAACUAAGUUGCACAUGAAAAACAAAAGAAUGAUUCUGGAAGUUUAGGUGUUAAAUCCGAGUUGGAUAAAUAUCUUCUUGAAGACCAAGAACCUGAAUCUGGAGAUUUUGAUAUUUUGAGUUGGUGGAAAGUUAAUUCUCCUAGAUUUUCUGUACUUUCACAGUUGGCUCGAGAUGUAUUGGUUAUUCCUAUGUCGAGUGUGGCAUCGGAGUGUGCAAUUAGCACUGGUGGUCGAAUUCUAGAUCCCUUUAGAAGUUCAUUGACUCUCAAAUGUGUGCAAUGUCUUAUUUGUGUCCAAGAUUGGCUUAGACAAGAAACCAAGCCUAUUUGUGUUGAAGAAAGUUUGGAGUUUCUUGAAAAAAUUGAACUUGGUAAGAUUUUUUAUUUCUUAUUUAUUUUUUUAAAAAAUAAAAUACUUGUUGUGUUCUAUCUUGUAUGACAUGUUUAUUUUUCUUAAUUAUAGAGAUGACAAAUAGUGGAAGAAACUCUUCCAUUGUUGAUCUAUGAUUGACUUGCAAGCGUUGAGUUUAAUACAUCAUUUAUUUAAUCAUAUCAUUUUUAAUCUUAAAAGUAGUAUUCUAAGUUUCUAAUAUUUGAUUUUAUCUUAAAAGUUCCAAGGGUCAAGACAAUGAAGAAAUAAUUUUGUUGACAUGGAAGAAAGUCAAGAAACUCAUUAUUGUUGUUUGUUAUUGUUGACAUUUGAAUUGAAAGUAAUCUCAUGGAAGAAGACAAGAAGUUUAAAAUACAUUGUUUGUUUCUUAUUAUUGUUUAUUAUGAGCUCAUGAAAGACUUUAAUGUUACUUGUUAGAUUGUUAUUAUGUUGUAUUUGUGAAGACAUUAACUACAAAUCUACAAUGCAACUUUUGUUUUAGUUUCAUUGUUAAUUAAAAAUUGUGUGUUUUAGUGAUAUUGUGAAUUUAAAAUUUGUGGUGUUAAUGCCUAAUGGCAUAUUGACAUAUUGAUAUUUGGUAGUAAAUUAGUAAUGCACUUCUUUGAUGUAUUGUCUAUUUUUACUUUUUAGCCCAUUAAGUUGAAAAAUCAAACAAAUAAAUUGUAAAGUUUAAAAUUUUAAAAAGCCCACUAAGCAGGCCCAUUAAAAAACCAAUAUAAAAAAAAUCGAAUUAAUAAAAACCGAACCGAAUUAACAAAAAUCGAACCGAACCGAAAUGUUUCGAUUUGAUAUUCGGUACACAAUUUACAAAAACCGAAAACCAAAAAAUAAACCCGAUACCAAACUGAAAUACCAAAUGCCCACCCUUAGAUUUAACAACAAAACAAACUAAUUAAAUUUUAGCUUACAACCCUGAAAUACUACUAAUAAUAAUGAUAGUAAUAAUAAUAAUAAAACACUACUACGACAAGAAUCAUGAACUACAUACAUAAUAAGAAAGAAUAGACAAACAAAAAUUUGGAUACAACCUUGAAAUAACUAGAUAAUAGAAAUUUGGAUAUUCAUUAAACUAUAUAUAGUGAAUAUUCUGAUACUAUAUUGCCUAAUUCUCGUUUCUAGGUACAUCAUCUAUGACAAACACGCCUAUUGAAACCCUUCGUGGAGGCGUAUAUCGGUGCUCAAUCCUUUUAUAACGAGGCGUAUAUAAAUGCUAAACUGCAAUGUUAAGAAAUAUAUGAUGACCUUUUUCCUUUAUUUCUUUUUGUGUUAAUACUAGAACUAGAAUAGAUCAAUUGAUGUUCAUAACAAAUUCUAACACCUCACUCAUAAUGAAAUUGAUCAUAAUUUAAAGUACUAAAUCAUGCUAAAAUAAGUUAAGUAAGUAUUAGUUACAUGACUAAAUAUUAAAAGAAAAGAAAAUUAGAUCAUGUAUUUUUAAUGUCUAAAUCUAUGUAAAACUAAAAAAUAAAUAUUCGAUAUUAUUGUCAUUCUUAGUGUUGAAUUGAUUUGCUUUUUGAAUUAUUAUUAAUUUGAUUUUUAUUUAAACUUUAUUAUAAUUACCAACAUGUAUGGACUAGAAUCUUUAUUUGAUUAUUAAGAAUUCUAACUUCCAAACAUGAAAUAAAUAUAGUAAAAGAUAAAAACUGUGAAAAAGUAUAAGAGAUAUUUAAAAACUUACAUCAAAGUAAGAUUUUUACGUAUAAAAUAAAAAUUUUAAAUUAUAUAUAUAAUGUCGGGUUGGUUUGGUCUCGGGUUGGUUUAUUUUAGUUGAAAUCAACCCAACCCAAAUAUAGUCGGAUUUUUUUUUCCAACACCAAAUCAAGUCAAACCAAACCACUAGUCAGGGUUUUUUUUAUUUGACUAGAUUUGCGGUUUAGUUUAAUUUUCGAUUCGUUUUUAUACACUCGAUUUGCGAUUUAGUUCGAUUUUGACUUUUGUAGAUAAAAUCUGCAAAAAGAAAUAUGGAUAGAUUUCUCAAAGUUGGAAGGAAAAAAUAUUUUCAAACCAAAACAGUGCUUAGGGGUAGAACUUUUCAUCUUGAUAUUCUAUCAAUGGACAUAGUCAAGCAGGUUUGUGAGUUACUACGGUUUCAGGGGUGGGAGGAACUAUUUCUUGAACCUAAUCUUAUUUAUGAACAAGAAGUAGUAGUUUUUUACACAAAUUUAACAAUCUUGGAAGGGGAUGUAGUAUCUUCUAGUGUGAAGGGAGUUGAGAUUGUUUUUGAUGCAACUAAGCUUGGGGAAAUUUUACAUAUACCAUUUGUGGGUAUUAAUGAUUAUCAUUGGGCUUUUGAUGAACAUUUUAGUCUUCCAGCUAAGUUUUCUCAAGGUAGAGUCAAUUCUAGGGCACAGACUGUGUUAAAAGGUAUCAUGGGAUCAGUUCAUAAGCUUCUCUUUGAGAUAAUACAUAAGGGAAUACUGCCCAGGCGUCACCAACGUCACAUUGCUUCUAUAAAGACAUGGGACUUAUGAAUGCUCUUGAAUGUAAAGAACGUAUUGACUGGCCCACAUUGAUCAUCAAACACUUUGCUAGAAUUGUUGAUCCUAAACUAGGUUCUCAUCAAUUACCAUUUGGGAAUCUUUUAACUAGACUGUUUGAUGCGUUUGAAGUACCAUUGGGAGAAGGAAGGGUUUUGACUCGUGCAGAUAUGUUUACUCAAACCAUUCUUGCUGAUUGUGGCAUUCCCAUGGAAUCAGAGCAAGUUGUUAAUGUUUCUCCACGUACAUCUGGUCCUGUUGCUCAAUUACUCAGGGAACUCAAAGUGGAAGAAGAAAAGUAUGUCACCCUUGAAUUGGAAAACCAAAAUUUACGUGCUGAACUUCAUACUUCAAAUGCUGAGAUUCACAGGUUGAAAGAUCAGUUGGUGCAGAAGCAGCUUGCUAACAAUGCAAGGGUUGACAGAGUUCUGGACAUGCUUGCUUUUGCCUCCACCAAGCCUAGUCAAUAUUCAACUUGAAAAGCAUCAUGUUUGCACCUGGUUCUUUUUACUCUGUGUUGAUAUUCCUCUUUGUGUUUCCAGAACACUUUAUUUUGCUCAACUGGCUGAGCUUCACUUGUUUCUGUGGAUGUUAUCUUAUUUUGUUUAGCUAAUAUUGGACUCUUUUUGAUUUGUCAAAAGGGGGAAGAUUAUUAUAAGUGCAUUACACAGGUUUGUCUUCAUCAAAAAGGGAAAAUAUGUUAGAAUCUGAUAAUUCUAUAAACAGAUAAAAUUAAAGUUUUGAUAAUAGACAAGAAAUGCAAAUAUAUGGAUAAAAAGGUUUGCCAGAUUCAUCGCCAAAUUUGUCGCAACAAGAAGCCACCUGAACUAAUUAUAGCAGUCACUAGAAGUAUACAAUUAAGUGUACAAGAGCUAAAGAUGCUGAAAAUUCAAGUUGAGACAAAUAAGGAAUCCUUAAUACAUUAAGUAAGGAAGUUGUAUAGAAAAAGGAUUGUACAAUAAAAGGUAAAAUCAGUACUCCUUGUUUAACUAUAAUUACAAUUUCCUUACCUUAUUUGAUAAGGAUUCAAGGCACGAGAAGGCAGGAGAAAACUCUAUAAAUAGAGAUCAACAACAGAAGAAGAGGACACGACUUUUACAUAGAGAGAAAAGCGAGAGUUAUUCAUCAAGUAAAAGCCUUCCAAGAUCGAUAGGUCUUGCUAAGUUCAAAGAAGUUCUUGAGUUAGAAAGUCUUGAACGUGUAAAACUAUUUUCUUGAUUCAUUGUUGAGUUGUUAGUUACGUUUUCGUACAAGAAGUGGGUUUGGCUUCUUGUAGAGUUGAGCUUUGGUGAGGUUUGUAACAAAAGGUGGGUUUGGCCUUUUGAGAGUAGAAGUAGUCGAUUAUAGUUAAUCGAGAGUUGUUGUAGUGGUGAGGUUAUUGAUUAUUGAGUUGUAAUCAUAAAAUCAUCCAGUUGAAUUAAUAAAACGAGGUUUUUCCUUCCUUGAUUGAGGAAGGUUUUUAAUUUAACAAGUGUUUGUGUUCUGACUUAAACCAACUUACAAGAACUAGUUCUUAUUCUAGGGGAUAGGUUUCUUCACUUGACAAUCAUGCGCAAUUUUUUAUUUUGGUUGACUAUAAGCGGAAUGCUAACUCAAGCAUAUGUAAACAUCCAAUUGAAAGAAAUGUUUAAAAAUAAUUUUCUGAAUAUCAAAAUUUUUCUGAAUAUAAUGAGUAUGAAACAUUUAAAUAAAAUAUCUGAAAUUGAAAAACUCUCCAAAAUUUUCUAUCUAUGAAGCCUCUACAGUACAAAGGUGAGUGUCGGAACAAGAUCAACGACUACACAAAAAACUAUUACUAACAAGUCAUACGUUCUUAAUUAGUAAGUUAUAUAUACGUUAUUUCAAUAAUACUUUCGAUAUUAUGAAAAUAUAAUGUCAAUCUUUAAAGACAAACAUUUACAUACCAUGAGAACGACUUUUAUUAUUAUUAUUUUUAUUAUACGUUCUUUUCUCACUUGGGAUAUAAAUAUGCAUUUUUUCAUAUCAACCAAAAAAUUUGAUAUAAUAAAUUUAAUUUUUACUAUGUCAAAAAGUAUUAAGAAAAAGUGUCACAAUCUAAAAUUUCAAAUUAUGAUAGGCAUUUACUAACAUCAUGCCAACAGAUAAGCCGAACUUAUACACAAUCUAAAUUUCAAAUUAUGAUGGCUGGCAUCUACUAACAUCUUGCCAAUAGAAAAGCUGAACUUUAAAUAUAUGUUAAAGAGAAAAGACAUUAAGAGACAGUUGAAGUUGUUUUGAAUUUUUAAAAAUAUAUUUUAACUAUGUAGAUAUCUUAUUAUUUCCUAAACUAUUUUGAAUAUAUAUUAUUACAUCAUUUUUGAAUCAGUUCUAGAUUUUAAAUGACAAGUGUAAUCACAUAUCAAUCAUUGUGUGACACGUGUUAAUUCAAUUUGAAAUAUUACUUCUUUUCAUUUUAAGUUUUCUUUAUCUUACUUUUUGACUUAUUUUAGUUUUAUUAUUUUUAUUUGGGAUAAUGCACAAGUACCCCCUCAACCUAUGCCCGAAAUAUCAGAGACACACUUAUACUAUACUAAGGUCCUAUUACCCCCCUGAACUUAUUUUAUUAAUAAUUUUCUAUCCCUUUUUGGCCUACGUGUCACUAUUUUGUGAGCCCAACGCUGGUUGAUUUUUUGACUUUUGUGAUCUGUAGUAAGAAAGUCUUUUUUCCAUUAAACUUAUUUAUUUUAUUGUAUUUUUGUAGGAAAGAAGGGGACCUUAUAUAAUUUUUUGAUUUAGAGUUUGUUGUAUCUUUGUUAAAAAAGUGGGUUCCUAUUAUCAUAUAAAUAUGCAUUGCUUUAUAAUGAGUGAACUAUAAAUUGUAAUAAAUUAUAAAGUUGAAGAGUAUAUCAAGACUUUUUAUGGACUUUGGUAUUUAGAGAUUUUGUUAAUUAAAGUAGAGGAGUCGUAUAUAUAGGUGAAUAUUGAUAUGUUGCAUGCAACAUGUGUUAUUUAUUUUAAUGUAUGUAUGUAUUAUUGAGUAGUUAAACGUGUUGGGAGCCAUUUUUUCUUGCGUGCAUAUAUGCAUUUCAUGACAUAUAUAAUAAUAAUAAUAAGAAGAAGGCAGAAAUGAAUUGAAAAUAAAGGAAGUAGUUAAAAUAUUAUCCAAUCUCACCAUUUAUUUAUUAUAAAAUAUUAGAUACGAUACAUAAUUAAUUAAGAGAUGGAUGAGGUUUUUUUUUGUAUAUAUAUACUCACUUCAUUUAUUUAGGUGUGUGUGAGUGAGUGAUGAUGGAGUAGUCCUAGGUAAUAGUAACGGUUGCUAGAGAUGUAAGUAUCCCCAAACUUGCUGCCAAAGUUUGACCCACCGCAUCCUGAAGUAAGUUUCCAAUAAGGAUAACGGGAGCUACAAGGUUUCCUGUGGUUGGAGUCAAAGUGCAAUUAGCAAUUGGGAGAGGAAUCCUUGCAAUACAUGUUCCUGACAGAAGACUUGUAUUGGUGGACACUGCAGCAUUAAUAAUGCCUUGACUAUUUGCGGACACUUGAGCAAUCGUUGUGUUGCCACAAAUAAUCGUUACAUUUGCUCCAUUCACUCCGACGCCUGGGGCAUUACUUCCUGGUACGGAGCAAGACAAACUCCCCAAUAUAGUUAAAUUAAUAUUCGUUGGUAUAAUCGGUGGUACUUGACCACCAACAGGUGGUACAAUCGGUGGUAUACUAAUGGGUGGUACAAUCGGUGGUAUAUUAAUGGGUGGUACAAUGGGUUGGCCAAGAAUAGGACCAACAAUUGGACUGAGAAUAGAACCAACAAUCGGUAAUUGGCCAAGACCAACAGGUGGCACUUGACCAACGGGUGGUACAAUAC